GGGCCCGUAGCUCAGCGGAUAGAGCACCAGGCUUCGAACCUGGGAGUCGCACGUUCGAGUCGUGCCGGGCCCG
RNAcentral lists this transfer RNA (73 nucleotides) under Gaiellales bacterium. RNAcentral's name for it is "tRNA-Arg". It matches the Rfam family "tRNA". From Rfam's summary of the family: Transfer RNA (tRNA) molecules are approximately 80 nucleotides in length. Their secondary structure includes four short double-helical elements and three loops (D, anti-codon, and T loops). The record is from RNAcentral. Lineage: Bacteria; Bacillati; Actinomycetota; Thermoleophilia; Gaiellales.